UUGUCCAGGGGGCCGCCUUCGCCACCGGUAUUCCUCCAGAUCUCUACGCAUUUCACCGCUACACCUGGAAUUCUACCCCCCUCUACAAGACUCUAGCCGGCCAGUUUCAAAUGCAGUUCCCAGGUUGAGCCCGGGGAUUUCACAUCCGACUUGACCGACCGCCUGCGUGCGCUUUACGCCCAGUAAUUCCGAUUAACGCUUGCACCCUCCGUAUUACCGCGGCUGCUGGCACGGAGUUAGCCGGUGCUUCUUCUGCGAGUAACGUCAAUC
This 270-nucleotide ribosomal RNA is filed under the name Kluyvera ascorbata. RNAcentral describes it as "partial 16S rRNA". The record is from RNAcentral. Lineage: Bacteria; Pseudomonadati; Pseudomonadota; Gammaproteobacteria; Enterobacterales; Enterobacteriaceae.